RNAcentral lists this ribosomal RNA (253 nucleotides) under uncultured bacterium. RNAcentral describes it as "partial 16S ribosomal RNA". It matches the Rfam family "Bacterial small subunit ribosomal RNA", at positions 524 to 776 of the family's 1533-position model. The record is from RNAcentral.
UACGGGGGGGGCAAGCGUUGUUCGGAAUUACUGGGCGUAAAGGGCGCGUAGGCGGUCUACUAAGUUGGAUGUGAAAACUCUGGGCUUAACCCAGAGCCUGCAUUCAAAACUGAUAGGCUGGAGUUCUGGAGGGGAUAGCGGAAUUCCUGGUGGAGCGGUGAAAUGCGUAGAUAUCAGGAGGAACACCGGUGGCGAAGGCGGCUAUCUGGACAGAAACUGACGCUGAGGCGCGAAAGCUAGGGGAGCAAACAGG